RNAcentral lists this ribosomal RNA (599 nucleotides) under Schizonella cocconii. Its description in RNAcentral is "LSU rRNA". It matches the Rfam family "Eukaryotic large subunit ribosomal RNA", at positions 39 to 614 of the family's 3401-position model. The record is from RNAcentral. Lineage: Eukaryota; Fungi; Basidiomycota; Ustilaginomycetes; Ustilaginales; Ustilaginaceae.
CAUAUCAAUAAGCGGAGGAAAAGAAACUAACAAGGAUUCCCCUAGUAACGGCGAGUGAAGAGGGAAGAGCCCAAGAUUGAAAGCUGGCACCUUCGGUGUCCGCAUUGUAAUCUCAAGAAACAUUUUCCGCUUCGGACCAAGCCUAAGUCUCUUGGAAAAGAGCAUCGUAGAGGGUGAGAAUCCCGUACAUGGCUUGGAGCGCCCGAGGCUUUGUGAUAUGUUUUCUAAGAGUCGAGUUGUUUGGGAAUGCAGCUCAAAAUGGGUGGUAAAUGCCAUCUAAGGCUAAAUAUUGGGGAGAGACCGAUAGCGAACAAGUACCGUGAGGGAAAGAUGAAAAGAACUUUGAAAAGAGAGUUAAACAGUACGUGAAAUUGCCAAAAGGGAAGGGUAGGAGGUCAGAGAUGCGGCUUGGGAUUCAGCCUUGCUUUUGCAUGGUGUUUUUCCCAUUUUGCAGGCCAACGUCGGUUUUGGGCACUGGAGAAGGGUAGGAGGAAUGUGGCACCUCUCGGGGUGUGUUAUAGCCUCCUACUGGAUACAGCGACCGAGACCGAGGAACGCAGCGUACUCGAAAGAGCGGGCCUUCGGGCACCUUUACGCUU